UUACCAACCCGAUGCAAACUGCGAAUACCGGAGAAUGUUAUCACGGGAGACACACGGCGGGUGCUAACGUCCGUCGUGAAGAGGGAAACAACCCAGACCGCCAGCUAAGGUCCCAAAGUCAUGGUUAAGUGGGAAACGAUGUGGGAAGGCCCAGACAGCCAGGAUGUUGGCUUAGAAGCAGCCAUCAUUUAAAGAAAGCGUAAUAGCUCACUGGUCGAGUCGGCCUGCGCGGAAGAUGUAACGGGGCUAAACCAUGCACCGAAGCUGCGGCAGCGACGUUUAUGCGUUGUUGGGUAGGGGAGCGUUCUGUAAGCCUGCGAAGGUGGCCUGUGAGGGUUGCUGGAGGUAUCAGAAGUGCGAAUGCUGACAUAAGUAACGAUAAAGCGGGUGAAAAGCCCGCUCGCCGGAAGACCAAGGGUUCCUGUCCAACGUUAAUCGGGGCAGGGUGAGUCGACCCCUAAGGCGAGGCCGAAAGGCGUAGUCGAUGGGAAACGGGUUAAUAUUCC
Molecule: ribosomal RNA, 506 nt
Filed under: Salmonella enterica subsp. enterica serovar Paratyphi B var. L(+) tartrate +
Lineage: Bacteria; Pseudomonadati; Pseudomonadota; Gammaproteobacteria; Enterobacterales; Enterobacteriaceae
Description: partial 23S ribosomal RNA
Rfam family: Bacterial large subunit ribosomal RNA
Source: RNAcentral